This is a long non-coding RNA of Phalaenopsis equestris, 583 nucleotides long. RefSeq lists it as uncharacterized. The transcript has 4 exons. The record is from RefSeq and is a predicted model, not a curated record. NCBI's taxonomy places the organism in Eukaryota, Viridiplantae, Streptophyta, Magnoliopsida, Asparagales, Orchidaceae.
UUCCGCCUCGAAACUUCUGGACGGUUCACGGGUUCGGCUGCCUCUCCCUCUUCUCUUCUCCUUCCUCUCAAAAUCGUGAAAGGCUUUCGGCCGCGAGAGCUUAGGGUUUGCCAUUUGUGUUUUGCUUCUAAUAUCUACUUCUUCUUCUCCUCGUACAGUCAGCGCUGGCUCGAUUAUGCGGUAUUCAUGCUUGGUCGCUGUUUGGCUACUGAGGACUUCUCUAUCAAAACGAUCACAAUCACAGAAACAGUCUAUCAUAUGGUCAAAUUCUUAUGAAAAAGAAGAGUUCUUUCACAAUAGACCAAAUACUGAAGUUUCCAAUAUUACCUCAGUUACAGAGCAGGUCCGAGCUUUUGGUUGCUACAGGCAUGAGAAAUAUGCCAUCCAGUACAGAGCCAUGUUUGUUGUAAACUGCACAAUUAGAAAUUAUCAAUCUUAAGGGAGCAGGUUUGCUGAACGGAUGUUGGCGUAUUUGACAAAGAUGAGGUUCAUCACUUUUUUAAUGUUAUUCCAAGCACUUCCUAAGCUUUUGCUGUUAAUUACUUAAAUAUUUGUUUGCUUUAUACACAUAACUAAGUUUCUU